Molecule: ribosomal RNA, 254 nt
Filed under: uncultured bacterium
Lineage: Bacteria
Description: partial 16S ribosomal RNA
Rfam family: Bacterial small subunit ribosomal RNA
Source: RNAcentral
UACGUAGGGGGCAAGCGUUGUCCGGAUUUAUUGGGCGUAAAGCGCGUGUAGGCGGCUGGGUAGGUCUGCUGUGAAAACUUGGGGCUUAACCCUGAGCUUGCGGUCGAUACGGGCAUGACUGGAGUUCGGCAGGGGAGACUGGAAUUCCUGGUGUAGCGGUGAAAUGCGCAGAUAUCAGGAAGAACACCUAUGGCGAAGGCAGCUCUCUGGGACGGUACUGACGCUGAGACGCGAAAGCGUGGGGAGCGAACAGG